Molecule: ribosomal RNA, 37 nt
Filed under: Aquilaria crassna
Lineage: Eukaryota; Viridiplantae; Streptophyta; Magnoliopsida; Malvales; Thymelaeaceae
Also listed under: 1 other name
Description: partial 28S ribosomal RNA
Source: RNAcentral
CGACCCCAGGUCAGGCGGGAGCACCCGCUGAGUUUAA